This 378-nucleotide unclassified non-coding RNA is filed under the name uncultured Chlamydiales bacterium. RNAcentral describes it as "contains 16S-23S intergenic spacer region". The record is from RNAcentral. Lineage: Bacteria; Pseudomonadati; Chlamydiota; Chlamydiia; Chlamydiales.
UCCCAGUUUACCUGGGCAGUCUCGUUAGAGUUCCCGACUUGACUCGCUGGCAACUAACGAUAAGGGUUGCGCUCGUUGCGGGACUUAACCCAACACCUCACGGCACGAGCUGACGACAGCCAUGCAGCACCUAUAUAGAUCCCCUUUCGGGCGAUACCCUUUCAGAUAUCUCAACCUACAUUUCGAGCCUGGGUAAGGUUCUUCGCGUUGCAUCGAAUUAAACCACAUGCUCCACUGCUUGUGCGGGCCCCCGUCAAUUCUUUUGAGUUUCACCCUUGCGAGCGUACUCCUCAGGCGGUACACUUAACGCGUUGGCUACGACACAGCAGGGGUUGAUUCCUACUACGUCUAGUGUACAUCGUUUACAGCGUGGACUAC